GUCUAAUCGGUAAUAAAAUUAUAAAUAAUUUAAUUUUGUUGUUGGUUUGUGGUGGGUCGUGACUUUUAUAACGUGGGUUUACAUCCGACGAUGGAAAAUGUUAUGGAGAACUUGGGGAUUUUCCUAGAAGUAUUUACGAGGUUUCGUAAGGCAAUCACACCUGGAAUUGAUGCCCAACGCCCACCGAUAGUUAAAAAAAAACAGCAGCAAACUUACGAAGCGCGGGAGAGUGAUUUGAAACAUUUUUUAGCAAUGUUUUCGUUUUGGUUAAACAGAACUGAUAUAUUGAUAAAGCAAUAAUUGGAAAGUAACGAGGCUCGUAUCAUACCAUUUCCUGUGUUCACUGAGACGAGACAUAGGUAUAAAGACUAAGAGAGCCGAACAGAAUGAAUGUUUUUGUUACAACUUGUGUCUUUUUACAUAAUGUAUUUUAAUUAACUUUUUAUUAAUAUUAUAGUGCCAAGAUAUAUGUUUGUUUGUUUAUACUAAAAUAAGUUUUCAUUUUCAAAGAGUUUAUUUUGUUUUGUAGUAGAGGUACUGUUUCUUUGGAUAAUACGCUGUUAUAGAAUUUUUAAUUAGUUUUUAGUCUUUCUUUAGGAAACAGAAAAAAGUACAUAUUAAACAAGUAUAUUUCAUGAUGUCUAUUG
This is a long non-coding RNA of Anthonomus grandis grandis, 647 nucleotides long. RefSeq lists it as uncharacterized. Lineage: Eukaryota; Metazoa; Arthropoda; Insecta; Coleoptera; Curculionidae. The transcript is spliced from 3 exons. The record is from RefSeq and is a predicted model, not a curated record.